This 302-nucleotide ribosomal RNA is filed under the name uncultured bacterium. RNAcentral describes it as "partial 16S ribosomal RNA". It matches the Rfam family "Bacterial small subunit ribosomal RNA", at positions 508 to 807 of the family's 1533-position model. The record is from RNAcentral.
GCAGCCGCCGCGGUAAUACGUAGGGUGCAAGCGUUAAUCGGAAUUACUGGGCGUAAAGCGUGCGCAGGCGGUUAUAUAAGUCAGAUGUGAAAUCCCCGGGCUCAACCUGGGAACUGCAUUUGAGACUGUAUGGCUAGAGUGUGUCAGAGGGGGGUAGAAUUCCACGUGUAGCAGUGAAAUGCGUAGAUACGUGGAGGAAUACCGAUGGCGAAGGCAGCCCCCUGGGAUAACACUGACGCUCAUGCACGAAAGCGUGGGGAGCAAACAGGAUUAGAUACCCCAGUAGUCCCUGUCUCUUAUAC